AGACGGAAGGAACCCUAGCCGCCUGAGGAAGCCCACAUCCGCAAGGCAUCCUCACCAGAACUUAUCGAAAUUUCUAGACUGCAACCCGAUCGAUAGUGACGGACUUGUCAUCCUAAACCCUAACCAGGCUGUCGACGAUGGCGGCGGUUCGGUGUGCGGCGAGGAGGCUCGGUGGCUCCCUGCUCCAGAGGAUGCAGGCGGAGGGGCGGCUCAUGCAUGCCAAGCAGGCUCAUGCGCUCCCGCGGGCUCUUCACCGAGGCGCCGGUUGCAAUACACAAAGAGAGUUCGGGAGGUGCUAGAUGCAGCCGCCAAGUUCACAUUUUAUGUUUUCCUUACUACUGCUGUAGUGCUGUUAUUGGUAUCGGCCGCAACAAGGGGGUACCCCGCGCUCACGCUCAGGCCCCUGCCAAGGAGGAAAGUAAGUGAAACAAGAUGCAAAAAUGAGAACCAAAGAUGUUCCAGACUUGUUUCAGUUUUGUCAUAUGACGUGCAGUUUGGCUAGCAAGUACUAUGUUGUCUUUGUGACAGUGUGACAUGGUAUCUCUUUGUCUAUCCCAGCAGAUUGGGUUCAUGAAA
Molecule: long non-coding RNA, 576 nt
Organism: Triticum aestivum (bread wheat)
Lineage: Eukaryota; Viridiplantae; Streptophyta; Magnoliopsida; Poales; Poaceae
Exons: 2
Source: RefSeq, a predicted model, not a curated record